Molecule: ribosomal RNA, 467 nt
Filed under: uncultured bacterium
Lineage: Bacteria
Description: partial 16S ribosomal RNA
Rfam family: Bacterial small subunit ribosomal RNA
Source: RNAcentral
GACGAACGCUGGCGGCGUGCUUAACACAUGCAAGUCGAACGGAAAGGCCUCUUUCGGGGGGUACUCGAGUGGCGAACGGGUGAGUAACACGUGAGUAACCUGCCCUUGACUUUGGGAUAACUUCAGGAAACUGGGGCUAAUACCGGAUAGGAGCUCCUGCUGCCUGGUGGGGGUUGGAAAGUUUCGGCGGUUGGGGAUGGACUCGCGGCUUAUCAGCUUGUUGGUGGGGUAGUGGCUUACCAAGGCUUUGACGGGUAGCCGGCCUGAGAGGGUGACCGGCCACAUUGGGACUGAGAUACGGCCCAGACUCCUACGGGAGGCAGCAGUGGGGAAUAUUGCACAAUGGGUGGAAGCCUGAUGCAGCAACGCCGGGUGCGGGAUGACGGCCUUCGGGUUGUAAACCGCUUUCGCUCAUGACGAAGCUUUGUGUGACGGUAGUGGGUAAAGAAGCACCGGCUAACUACGUG